AGAGAAGGGAGAAGACACACAGCUUGUGAUGACACUAUCCCUUUAAGGCAAUCUGUGUAGAGUGUAUAAUUCAUAUUAUAUUGCUAUUUUUGGUUUAGAUGCCAAACUGAAAUAGAAGCAACAUGUUGGUGUUAACUUUCAUAACAAUAAUUGGACUGUCGAGUGGUGCCGUAUAUAUAACUCCAGUACCAUUAGAAUGGGUACCUGUCACCAAUGGAGUUAAUCCAUCGAAUUCUGUACACGUGGGCUCGAAGGAGAGUUUUUGCGAGGUUGAUGAUCCGAAGGGACUGAUACCUGGUGUUACAAAUAAUGGAAAAUGUGAAUAUGAAGUUGAUGGUGAGGUUAAAUCAUCAGCCUCUUACAACGUGCUGGUACGUCCAGAAGGUGUACAUACCGGAUGGAAGUACAGUAAUGGUAAUCCUCCAGUUGGGGCCGUGAAGUGCCAUGAAGGACAACAAUGUUACCUCGGUAUGAGCAUUUAUAAUGACGGACUCUGUGAAGAACUUCCGGGAAAGAUAUUUACAGACAAGAAAGCUAUGAUCAUGACAUCAGGCGACAAAGUAUAUAAGUGUCCCUCUAAAUUAUAUUUAGUUGAAAAAAUGAUACGAGCAUAAUAACAUUAAGAAUUAAUCUGCAGUAUUUUAAUCUGUUGAAAUUAAAUAAAAAAUAAUAUCCACAA
Patella vulgata (common limpet) is the source of this 679-nucleotide long non-coding RNA. RefSeq lists it as uncharacterized. The record is from RefSeq and is a predicted model, not a curated record. Lineage: Eukaryota; Metazoa; Mollusca; Gastropoda; Patellidae. The transcript is spliced from 3 exons.